This 476-nucleotide ribosomal RNA is filed under the name Streptococcus mitis. Its description in RNAcentral is "bacterial SSU rRNA". It matches the Rfam family "Bacterial small subunit ribosomal RNA", at positions 28 to 489 of the family's 1533-position model. The record is from RNAcentral. Lineage: Bacteria; Bacillati; Bacillota; Bacilli; Lactobacillales; Streptococcaceae.
GACGAACGCUGGCGGCGUGCCUAAUACAUGCAAGUAGAACGCUGAAGGAGGAGCUUGCUUCUCUGGAUGAGUUGCGAACGGGUGAGUAACGCGUAGGUAACCUGCCCGGUAGCGGGGGAUAACUAUUGGAAACGAUAGCUAAUACCGCAUAACAGUAGAUGUUGCAUGACAUUUGCUUAAAAGGUGCAAUUGCAUCACUACCAGAUGGACCUGCGUUGUAUUAGCUAGUUGGUGGGGUAACGGCUCACCAAGGCGACGAUACAUAGCCGACCUGAGAGGGUGAUCGGCCACACUGGGACUGAGACACGGCCCAGACUCCUACGGGAGGCAGCAGUAGGGAAUCUUCGGCAAUGGACGAAAGUCUGACCGAGCAACGCCGCGUGAGUGAAGAAGGUUUUCGGAUCGUAAAGCUCUGUUGUAAGAGAAGAACGAGUGUGAGAGUGGAAAGUUCACACUGUGACGGUAUCUACCAGAAA